Long non-coding RNA from Thunnus maccoyii (southern bluefin tuna), 987 nucleotides. RefSeq lists it as uncharacterized. The record is from RefSeq and is a predicted model, not a curated record. The transcript has 3 exons. Lineage: Eukaryota; Metazoa; Chordata; Actinopteri; Scombriformes; Scombridae.
GUAGCAAAUCAAAAAAUGGAAAAUUACAACAGUGACAUAUUUUAUGUGUAGUAAUCUUCACAACAUGAGACUGUUUGGAUGAGUCAUAGUGUAGCAAUCUUUACACAGGUCAUGGGUUCCGUGCAUGAACUAUAAUUCAUUUGCAGUUGUUCACGUUGUAUAAUGUAAAAUCCCAUUUUGGGGAGUAUUUUUUCAUUGUCCUAAGACGUGCAAUGCAAUUCAGUGCGCUAAAGUGUCCGCUUGUUCCAUCAUCCAAAUUAGUACAAUGAGAAUUGAAACAGGAAGUCGAGAGCCGGAAACAGGGACAACUCGCCUUCAAAGUAAAAGUUGCGCGUUUUGAAGCGUGUCGGCUGCAGCGGUCCAUCUAAGUAGAGCUCUACUAAAUAAAUACAUAAAUAAAUAAAUAAACAAAAAGCUUAAAUGGCAUAAUUCCUAACUUCUUUUAUACACUUUGGAGAUGAAACUAUGUCAAAGGAAAAAAGAGGCGGCGGGACCAACCCAGGAAUUUUCAAACUGUGUGACCUCCACCGGUAGUCUGAUGCAUAAACUCAACCUAUGACUACAACAGGAUAACCUGGAAACAGCGCGGGGAAAACACGCAGCUGUUACAGAGUUUCCAGAGGACCAGAGUAGAGAGCUUGUGAGACACCAGGGAAGACAGCUGUGGAUGGUGUGUCAUUCACCUCGGAUUUUUGCUGGGGCUUCACAUGUCUGCUUUCCGAGUCUCUAACUGUACCUACCAAGACUGGCUUUCACAGCAAAACAUAUACUCACAAAGCACUUUAUUAGGAACACCUGUGCAAUCUAAUGCAAUCCUGUAGACCACCUCUGCCAUAAAUUCUACUUCUACGAAGCACUGUAUUUUAAAUUACUGGAUUAUUGCCAGAGAUGGUUAGUCAUUGUACAGUUUAUGUACAAAUUAAUUCUUCAUCUUGUCUGUUCAUAUGACCUCUGUCUUCUUCAAAAUAAAUAAAAGGUAUACUCUCA